This is an unclassified non-coding RNA of Macaca mulatta (Rhesus monkey), 148 nucleotides long. It matches the Rfam family "Metazoan signal recognition particle RNA". From Rfam's summary of the family: The signal recognition particle (SRP) is a universally conserved ribonucleoprotein. It is involved in the co-translational targeting of proteins to membranes. The record is from Ensembl. Lineage: Eukaryota; Metazoa; Chordata; Mammalia; Primates; Cercopithecidae.
GCCGGGCUUUGUGGCGGGCGCCUGUAAUUUCAGCUACCCCAGAGGCUGAGGCAGGAGAAUUGCUUGACCCUGGGAGCCGAGGGUUGCAGUGGGCUGAAAUCAAGCCACUGCACUCCACCCUGGGCGACAGAGCAAGACUCUGUCUCAA